UUGUUUUUCCCUUCCUACCUUGCUUCUGUGUUAUUUAGAGGUGGCUUAUGGGCUCAGAUGCUACAACUCUAACAUGCUGACGCACCUUUCCCUGGGAGAUGAAAGUGUAGCAUUUAGGUUAGCACAUGAAGCAGAAAGCAUCUUCAAGCUUUUGGGGUGCUAAAAUGUGGUACCCAGCCUUCCUAUGAUGACCUCCUCCUUCCUAGGUGAAGGGGCCUGUUUUCCCAGCUGCCUCUCCUGUCCACUGACUGCCCCUUUUGGCUACAUACUGUUUGAUAUUUGCUGUUUCCGUCAUAUAACCGUUGCACUUUUCUCUCAUUCACUGGAUCUGACUCUUGCCCCAAGCUUUGCAUGGCUUGGUCCUUUUUGUCAUCCUGUUCUUGGUUAAAUGUCACUUUUUCAAAGAGCUGUUUUUCCCUUUGCCGCAUAGACAUCGUCCCUCAGUCACACUCUGUCAUAUUCCCUGGUUUUAUUUGUGUCGUAUUUCAUGCUCCCAAAUAUAUCUUCAUCAUUAGCUGGAGUGUUCACAGCUGCUCCCCCCUCCCCCCAUUAGAAAGAAAACUCUUGUCAAGGCAGAGGCCAUGGUGGCAUGGCCCACUGUAUCCCACAGUGUCUAGGACCCAGUCAGCACUCAGUGGAUAGCUGAGGGAAGGGUGACUUCUCAAUGUGCUCGUGUGAUCUGGAGCAGACUUCUUGACCUCUCUGAACUUCAGCUCCCUCACUUAGGACGUGGAGAUAAUAAACGUCCAUCUCCCCAGGGACACCAUACGAUUAAAUCCAUCACAAGCCAACUUGCCCAGAGCAACACCUGACACGUGUUCAUGCCUUUCUUUGGGAUCUAAAAUUUCAGCUCCGAAUGCUUGCUCUUGCCUCUUGGAGCCCAUACCUUGCUCAGGCGGCAGGCCUCUUAUUAGUUGGUUGCUCUUCCCAAUGGGAAGCUGAGCUCUAAGUUGAGUUACUAAUGACCUUUCUAUAGCACACUCUUCCCUUCCCACAAGGAUUUGGCAUUCAUUUUUCAAAAGCAUCAGUUCCUCCAACAGACCAUGGGUUAGGAAGUAUCUCUCUGUUCCAGCAGUGACUGAUGGAGUGAUGGGCCAGCAAGUGGGGGGAAAGGCAGGCCAGCACCAGAAUGUUGGAAGGACCUUCAAGAAACCAUUAGGGUGGACAGAUUGUUCUUGAGGAAGGAGAUGGAAAAUGAAGCAUCCUCAGCAACCUACUUGGUACUCUUGAUUAACCUCAUGUAAGAGAAAAUGUUCUGGUUUUACUUUUUUAGUUUACUUUUUAAUGAAAACAUUCUCUUGAGCUGGGAGGAAUCUUAGAACUCCUCUGCGGCCACCUUCACACCCUACAGUUGAGGAAACUGAGGCCUGCAGUGGGUAAGAUGUUUAUUCCUGGUGUCUUGGCUUGUCGGGGACCAGUGGGUCCACGCAGGCCUCCUCGUUCCCUGGCUGAUCUCUUCCCUCUCGGCUGGCUUCUCCCUCCCCCCAUGCCCAUGAUCAUAGUAUUUCUCGCUCUCACUUAGUUUCCCAAAUGUCUCUUAAGAAAGUCAGUCACAUCCAUGAUCAUAGUCAUCAUGUUGCCCUUUGUCUUUUCUUCUGCAGUCGAAGCCACCCUACGUCCACGAACCUGUCCUCACCUGACUUUCCCGAAUAGGUAGCAGCUCUGGGCCUCCUGUGUAAAUCCCCUCCACUCCCUCUGCCCCUCCUUGAAGGGCACUGCCAGCCAGGGCCUCCACCUGCUGUCCUGACCACUGUCCUGCACACGCCCUCCUUGCCUCUGAGCCCUCGACCCUGGGCAUCUCUAGAACCUCAGGCUUCUCUCAGCGCAUGGUUAAUAGUUAUGCUGAUGGGAUGUUCACUUUACGCCUGACAUCAUUUAAACCCUCUCAUCCUUUACACUAGUUGGCUGGUCUACAGGACAUUCUGCAUUCACUCUCAGUAUUUGUGUAUGGAGUGCCUUAAAAUGUCCAGUUAAUCUUAGGUAAACCUGUAUAAACCACAUGGUAAGCUGAUGAAAGUAUGGUCAACUCUAAUGAUUAAACAUGUUUCUUGAGGAUAAAGAACAUUUAAAAAAUUCUUGCCACCGUCAUCAAGAAGGACUAAACAUCAAAAGUGUCUUCCCAAAAGAUCUUCUUUAGCUAAUAAUAAAAAAACCCCUAAAUGCUAAGUAUAUCCUAUAAUUUUACAUCUGUUAAGUGAUUUGAACUGUGAAAUAUUCACGCUAAAAAACAGUUUGCCUUUCCAGCUGUUGAUCGGCUCUAAGCAUUGAACGUGACUGUACAGGAAGUCUUGCUCGCAGCCUCAAAGUAGCUCUCACUGCCAGGAGGCCUUUGGAGGAGGGAUGAGGAGCAGAUUAAUUUUUUUGCCUGCAAUUCAGCUGUUUUCGUGUUCUUUUAACAUGUCAAGUCUGUUUCAAAUUUGCCCCCAGAAUCUGAUGUAAUUCGAAAUGGCCACAAGCCAGUCUUCAUGGUCCUCUAUUCAGGAAGGGUGGAGUCUGCUUUGAAGCUAGU
RNAcentral lists this long non-coding RNA (2509 nucleotides) under Sus scrofa (pig). Its description in RNAcentral is "lncRNA (ENSSSCG00040037222.1)". Lineage: Eukaryota; Metazoa; Chordata; Mammalia; Artiodactyla; Suidae. The record is from RNAcentral.